RNAcentral lists this ribosomal RNA (253 nucleotides) under uncultured bacterium. Its description in RNAcentral is "partial 16S ribosomal RNA". It matches the Rfam family "Bacterial small subunit ribosomal RNA", at positions 524 to 776 of the family's 1533-position model. The record is from RNAcentral.
UACAGAGGGGGCAAGCGUUGUUCGGAAUUACUGGGCGUAAAGGGCGCGUAGGCGGCCGACUAAGUCAGACGUGAAAUCCCAUGGCUCAACCAUGGAACUGCGUCUGAUACUGGACGGCUUGAGUUCGGGAGAGGGAAGUGGAAUUCCAGGUGUAGCGGUGAAAUGCGUAGAUAUCUGGAGGAACACCGGUGGCGAAGGCGGCUUCCUGGACCGACACUGACUCUGAUCUGCGAAAGCUAGGGGAGCAAACAGG